UGCGUGCUGUACAAAAAGAUGGCUGCCA
RNAcentral lists this non-coding RNA (28 nucleotides) under Mus musculus (house mouse). The record is from RNAcentral. Lineage: Eukaryota; Metazoa; Chordata; Mammalia; Rodentia; Muridae.